CAGUCUUGAACUACCCUGUGUACCAGAAAUGGAAGGAUGUAGACAACUCUGGGCUGGUGUCAUUUCCUAGGAAUGGUAACAGGCUCAUUGUGCCCUUACUCAACAAAUAUACUCAGAGAAGUUUUAUGAAAUGAGCUGAGCCCUGCUAUCCAGUGAUACAGAAGGAUCUAGAGUUUAGUGCAGUUCAGAGCAUGGUGAGGAGAAGCAAAGAAAGGGUGAAGGUAGCAGAUUUGCAUGCAUGCCCCUCCUUUCUGAGAGGCAGAGUAUGAGGAUAUGAGUGGUCUGGGGGAGCCAGGCCAGUGCUGGGUCUCAUGAAGCAAUGUUCUUGAGUAACUCCACUAUGGCAUGGGCUCUGCUGCUCCAUAUCCUCCUCUCUCAGGGAACAGGUUAUGGCAUAAGGAAACUGACAAGGGGAUAUGAUGCUUUGUCUUCUCCAGCUCCAAUUCACUUGAACCCAUCCACAAGCAUAUAUGUCUGAGUGUGCUUAUUUAUCUUUAGAAAUGGUUUAUAGAGCUUUGUUUAGGUUCUAGAAGACUUAGAGCAGUGAUCAACACUUACAAGCUCACCAGAAACUUUCCCAGUGAUAGGAAUUAAAUAACCAUGCCUUAAAUCUCGCAUGCUCACUCUGGCACUACCAUCCCACUUUGUGUCUUUUGUACGUGGAGAUUCAAAAUGCAUGAACUACCUCAAGUGCUUUCUCAAAUAAUGAAACUGUUAGUUUUAUUAAUUUUUUAAAAAUGAGAACAUGGUUUUGUUCAACUAUUGAAAUGCUUGAGGUCUUCAUAUUUCAAAAUAUCUGCCUCUUCAAUGCCAUCAGGAAUUUGGCACUCAGGGCAAUUGACUUUCCCUGUAGGGAUUCCUCAAAAAGAGCCAAGGCUACAUUCUUGUCUUAUUCUUUGACCCUCCUAAGGAGUCCAUCUUCAGAUGUGUCUUUCCUUCUUUUCCACCUGCUGCCUGGACCUACACUGGAUAUUCUUGGAGGGGUAAGAAGAAGAGUACAAGCUUUGAUCUCAGUCUCAUCAGAGCAGUGUGAGAGUGACAUUGUUCUCCUUUGACUCCAUCUUUGUCUUUCCUGAUUGCUUUAUUAAUGCACUCUGAAUGACUUUGUUCCUACUGUUUAAAAAACAACAACAGAAACAAAAGCACAGGUAAAUUCUUUCAUAACAUUUUUCCCUAAUGGAAAUCAUCCCUAAUUCCAUUUUACUCUGAGUCUCUAGUCUUGGUAGUUAAGAGAAGUUAAGUUCAGGUUCAUUUCACUUUCUUUUUUUUUUUUCUUCUUGGUACCAGGGAUUGAACUCAGGGGUACUUUAUCACUGAGCCACAUCCCCAGCCCUAUUUUGUAUUUUAUUUAGAGACAGGGUCUCACUGAGUUGCUUAGCACCUUACUUUUGCUGAGGCUGGCUUUGAACUCGUGAUCCUUCUGUCUCAGCCUCUCAAGUUGCUGGGAUUACAGGCAUGUGCCAGCACGC
This 1469-nucleotide long non-coding RNA is filed under the name Marmota monax (woodchuck). The record is from RNAcentral. Lineage: Eukaryota; Metazoa; Chordata; Mammalia; Rodentia; Sciuridae.